This 96-nucleotide non-coding RNA is filed under the name marine eukaryotic metagenome. Its description in RNAcentral is "Glycine riboswitch". It matches the Rfam family "Glycine riboswitch aptamer", at positions 8 to 87 of the family's 94-position model. From Rfam's summary of the family: This family represents the bacterial glycine riboswitch. Glycine riboswitches usually consist of two metabolite-binding aptamers domains with similar structures in tandem. The aptamers cooperatively bind glycine to regulate the expression of downstream genes. The record is from RNAcentral.
CUGUUGGAGAGUGACAACGCAAAAGGCGGCGUCCACCGAAGGGGCAAACCCCGAGCCGAUGCUCACGGGUGAAUCUCUCAGGUCCAAGGACAACAG